ACACGUGGGUAACCUGCCUGUAAGACUGGGAUAACUCCGGGAAACCGGGGCUAAUACCGGAUGGUUGUUUGAACCGCAGGGUUCAGACAUAAAAGGUGGCUUCGGCUACCACUUACAGAUGGACCCGCGGCGCAUUAGCUAGUUGGUGAGGUAACGGCUCACCAAGGCAACGAUGCGUAGCCAACCUGAGAGGGUGAUCGGCCACACUGGGACUGAGACACGGCCCAGACUCCUACGGGAGGCAGCAGUAGGGAAUCUUCCGCAAUGGACGAAAGUCUGACGGAGCAACGCCGCGGGAGUGAUGAAGGUUUUCGGAUCGUAAAGCUCUGUUGUUAGGGAAGAACAAGUGCCGUUCAAAUAGGGCGGCACCUUGACGGUACCUAACCAGAAAGCCACGGCUAACUACGUGCCAGCAGCCGCGGUAAUACGUAGGUGGCAAGCGUUGUC
Molecule: ribosomal RNA, 447 nt
Filed under: Bacillus subtilis
Lineage: Bacteria; Bacillati; Bacillota; Bacilli; Caryophanales; Bacillaceae
Description: bacterial SSU rRNA
Rfam family: Bacterial small subunit ribosomal RNA
Source: RNAcentral